GACGAACGCUGGCGGCGUGCCUAAUACAUGCAAGUAGAACGCUGAAGAGAGGAGCUUACUCUUCUUGGAUGAGUUGCGAACGGGUGAGUAACGCGUAGGUAACCUGCCUUGUAGCGGGGGAUAACUAUUGGAAACGAUAGCUAAUACCGCAUAACAAUGGAUGACACAUGUCAUUUAUUUGAAAGGGGCAAUUGCUCCACUACAAGAUGGACCUGCGUUGUAUUAGCUAGUAGGUGAGGUAAUGGCUCACCUAGGCGACGAUACAUAGCCGACCUGAGAGGGUGAUCGGCCACACUGGGACUGAGACACGGCCCAGACUCCUACGGGAGGCAGCAGUAGGGAAUCUUCGGCAAUGGGGGCAACCCUGACCGAGCAACGCCGCGUGAGUGAAGAAGGUUUUCGGAUCGUAAAACUCUGUUGUAAGUCAAGAACGGGUGUGAGAGUGGAAAGUUCACACUGUGACGGUAGCUGACCAGAAAGGGACGGCUAACUACGUG
RNAcentral lists this ribosomal RNA (497 nucleotides) under uncultured bacterium. RNAcentral's name for it is "partial 16S ribosomal RNA". It matches the Rfam family "Bacterial small subunit ribosomal RNA", at positions 28 to 507 of the family's 1533-position model. The record is from RNAcentral.